UCCCAUGUGGCUCAGUUGGUAGAGCAUGGUGUUUGCAACGCCAGGGUUGUGGGUUUGAUUCCCACGGGGGAA
This 72-nucleotide transfer RNA is filed under the name Salmo salar (Atlantic salmon). It matches the Rfam family "tRNA". From Rfam's summary of the family: Transfer RNA (tRNA) molecules are approximately 80 nucleotides in length. The record is from Rfam by way of RNAcentral. Lineage: Eukaryota; Metazoa; Chordata; Actinopteri; Salmoniformes; Salmonidae.